CAGAGUUUUGUAACUCCUAAACCCUUUGUGAACUUACCGUUCUGUUGCCUCGGCGGGCCUCUGGGAUUCGUCCCACGUCCGCCGGCGGCCCCUAUAAACUCUGUUAGUUAUAAGCAAUCUGAGCGUUUUUUCAAAAAUAAAGUCA
This 145-nucleotide unclassified non-coding RNA is filed under the name uncultured Ascomycota. RNAcentral's name for it is "sequence contains ITS1". The record is from RNAcentral. Lineage: Eukaryota; Fungi; Ascomycota.